This 465-nucleotide ribosomal RNA is filed under the name uncultured bacterium. RNAcentral describes it as "partial 16S ribosomal RNA". It matches the Rfam family "Bacterial small subunit ribosomal RNA", at positions 29 to 507 of the family's 1533-position model. The record is from RNAcentral.
ACGAACGCUGGCGGCGUGCUUAACACAUGCAAGUCGAACGGAAAGGCCCUGCUUGCAGGGUACUCGAGUGGCGAACGGGUGAGUAACACGUGGGUGAUCUGCCCUGCACUUCGGGAUAAGCUUGGGAAACUGGGUCUAAUACCGGAUAGGAGCCAUCUUUAGUGUGGUGGUUGGAAAGUUUUUUCAGUGUAGGAUGAGCUCGCGGCCUAUCAGCUUGUUGGUGGGGUAAUGGCCUACCAAGGCGGCGACGGGUAGCCGGCCUGAGAGGGUGUACGGCCACAUUGGGACUGAGAUACGGCCCAGACUCCUACGGGAGGCAGCAGUGGGGAAUAUUGCACAAUGGGCGCAGGCCUGAUGCAGCGACGCCGCGUGGGGGAUGAAGGCCUUCGGGUUGUAAACUCCUUUCGCUAGGGACGAAGCUUUUUUGUGACGGUACCUAGAUAAGAAGCACCGGCUAACUACGUG